GACGGGUACCCGGCCUGAGAGGGUGAACGGACACACUGGAACUGAGACACGGUCCAGACUCCUACGGGAGGCAGCAGUAGGGAAUAUUGCUCAAUGGGGGAAACCCUGAAGCAGCAACGCCGCGUGGAGGAUGAAGGUUUUAGGAUUGUAAACUCCUUCUGUUAGAGAAGAUUAUGACGGUAUCUAACGAAUAAGCACCGGCUAACUCCGUGCCAGCAGCCGCGGUAAUACGGAGGGUGCAAGCGUUACUCGGAAUCACUGGGCGUAAAGAGUGCGCAGGCGGGAUAGCAAGUCAGAUGUGAAAUGCUAUGGCUUAACCAUAGAACUGCAUUUGAAACUGUUAUUCUA
RNAcentral lists this ribosomal RNA (348 nucleotides) under uncultured Helicobacter sp. Its description in RNAcentral is "bacterial SSU rRNA". It matches the Rfam family "Bacterial small subunit ribosomal RNA", at positions 278 to 643 of the family's 1533-position model. Lineage: Bacteria; Pseudomonadati; Campylobacterota; Epsilonproteobacteria; Campylobacterales; Helicobacteraceae. The record is from RNAcentral.